Molecule: long non-coding RNA, 1032 nt
Organism: Agelaius phoeniceus (red-winged blackbird)
Lineage: Eukaryota; Metazoa; Chordata; Aves; Passeriformes; Icteridae
Source: RefSeq, a predicted model, not a curated record
ACCGCCGCCGCCGCGGGCGGCCUGGGCGCCCCGCGCCGCUCACCUUCAUGUCGGGACAUCCUAGUCCAGAGACGGCGGCCCAGGCCUGUCUCGGGGCUCCCGCGGGCAGCUCGGGCGCCGCUGCGGCCUCGCCCCCCGCCGCCGCCCCGGUGCGAGAGGAGAGGGGCCGGGGCUGGGCCGGGAAGGGGGCGAAAACACAAGAGGCGGCGAGGAGCCGGCCUCCCUCCUCCUCCUUCUCCUCCUCCUCCUGCCUCCUCGCUCGCCCUGCGGGGGGCGGAUCCGGCGGCAACGGCUUCCCGGGCGCCGUGACACGGUGACUCCGGGCCCCGCCGGCCGCUGGCGCCGCCUCCCGCGCCGCUCCGCCCCUGCCGCACCAGCGACGGCGGCGGCCGCGCUGGAGCCUUCCCGGCCCCGGCCCCUGCCCCUUCCCCUUCCUCCUCCCGCCCCGGCCGCGCUGCUGGAGGAAGAGGAAACUCCCUAACAGGGCGGCGGCCCUCCCGCGCGGGCUGCCGGGCCAGGGCGGGCUCCGCCCGGGGCAAGGAAGCGGUCGAGGUAGCGGAACCCAGCACCGGCCCGACCCAAAGGACACGCAUUAAUCAGUUUUUUGUAUGUAAAAAGAGCGGAAAAAGAGCGGCAGAGAACAGCGUGCCCUGAGCCGGCGCUCUGUCACUGAUCGCGUUACUCAUUCUGCCAGAUUUGCGGAGCUGCGACUCCAGGCACAGGGCUGGAGUCUUUCCUUCGUGGUUUGUUUUUUUUGGUUUUUGGCCUGCUUAUGGUGUCUCACGAUCCACCUUGAAGUGUCCAAAGCACUGGAACCGCACAAUGAAAUGGUAGGAAUCAGGAACAUCAGACAGCUUUGCUUAGUGAGUCCCAUUUGGAGAUUUUGCAAUGGAAUACAAGCAUCUCACUGGACAAGAGUGGACUUGAAUUUUCAGCAGAUUUUUUUCCCUCGCAUGGAAACUACUUGGCCUUAGAGCUAUACUUUGCUAAGCACAACUAAAUAUACUAUAAAAUGCUCAUUAUCAGUUUAAA